Long non-coding RNA from Odontomachus brunneus, 1309 nucleotides. RefSeq lists it as uncharacterized. Lineage: Eukaryota; Metazoa; Arthropoda; Insecta; Hymenoptera; Formicidae. The transcript has 4 exons. The record is from RefSeq and is a predicted model, not a curated record.
GCGUAGGCUGAAGUGUUGAAAGUCAAGGAAUACUUUCUUUUUCUCUGCAAACAAUUAUUUCUCGAUCAUUGACAGCAUUGAGAUAUUGUGUGAUUUAUGGCAACCUUUUUUUUUAUUUCCAGAAAUUCUCAGCUUUUCUACCUGUGUUCCCUUUAUUCCAAAUCUUUCUUUGUCCUUGAAAACUUCUAACUCUGUUCUGUAAUAAAUUUUCUAACUGUUGCUCUGUAAUAAAUUUUCUUUCAAAUAUAUAUGUAUUAUAGUGUACACUAAAAAGAAAAUGUUAGACUAGAGAUGUCGGGUAAUAUACUUAACUUGAACAUCUUAAAUAUCUUGUUUAUUUUUUAUAAGAGGAUGCUAAAAGAGACAUUAUUUAGUUCGAGGAGACAAAUAUUGUAAAAAACAAGAAAUUUUUUUCAAAGUAAUUUUUUUUAUAUGAGACUAUAUAUUUUUAUCAUCGCGAUAUGGUAGGCAGUCAAGCGAAGCAAACGACCUACAAUACUAUUUAGGUUGUUAUGCAAGUUAGGUGGGACAGCCUGUAUACAUAAAGCUUUUCGCUAAGGGACAAUUACACAAUCACUAUUCAGGGUUUCUUAGAAUCGCUGAUUGUUCAACUUGAUCGAUUUGAAGUUGAAGGAACGAUUGACUCUCUGAGAACUGACUACGAUAACAAAUUAAUCUUUUACAUAAAAACUGCACUAAUUGGUAAUAAACUGUGCGAGAAGUUUGCGACGCACAUCUUAAUUCUAAACUUCGAAAUUAAAAGAGAGAAGUACCGAUCCCAUGAUCGGAUGAAGCCAUUGGUAUACAGUAAGCAAAUAUUAACAUUUUGUAUAAUAUACUACAUAUCUUAAUUAUUACAAUGAAUCUUUUCUCUUAGCAAACGCUAGAAUUACAAUUCGGCCUUAGGCCAAUUUAUUUUUCAGAGAGAUGUAUACUCUUCAAUGACGCAUUGCGACGUUGAAGUUCCAGUCAAAUGGGAUGAGAUUAUAAGUGAAUUCCAGAGCCAACUAUCGAUCACGAUAAAAACGGCACUACCAAGUCUUCCUUAUGUUCAACUUUUACAUCGCUUAAUGCUGUCACAGCUUUAUUGAGCAUUUCUGUAAUCUGCAAGCACAAUUCAUUUCAUCAUGUCAAAGCCACACUUGUAUCAGUGUGAGAGUUGUCUGCAAUGUCUGCUGUUGCAGACAUGGAAAAUAGUUUUGUUCCUUACCAACUCUUGAUCUUCACUAGCGAGGGGUUCAACUGCCAAUGUUCGUUCUGGCGCAGAUUAUGUGAGUCUAAUGCACCCACAUCUAUGACAUUGCUGUAA